This is a long non-coding RNA of Crotalus tigris (Tiger rattlesnake), 938 nucleotides long. RefSeq lists it as uncharacterized. The record is from RefSeq and is a predicted model, not a curated record. The transcript is spliced from 4 exons. Lineage: Eukaryota; Metazoa; Chordata; Lepidosauria; Squamata; Viperidae.
AGAUCUACCUUCAAAUCUCAUUGAACACGAUGUGCUAGUAUAGCCAACAAAACCAUAGGAAUGUUCAACCUCCAGAUGACUGGCUGGUUGGCUGAAUUCAGAGGACUGAAGAACUGAAAUGGCAAUGGCAAGACAGUCUAGAAAUGCUCCUUGUACCAUCUUUUGCCACUCAGGACAUCCAGCCAGGCAUGCUACUGUAUCUGUGCUCCCAUCUACUGAUUUUUCCAUCAAAGCACUGAGGGGCUAGAACUAAGUGCUGGUCUUGGCAAACCAAGAUGUUUCUUCCAAAGUCUGAGGCAGUCAUGGGACAUUUUGGAAAUGUUAUGUUCAAUACUAUGUCUAGUUAUUUUUCCUAUCAUUUACUGUUCUAAGCCCAAGAAAGAACCCCUCUUUAAUUGUACAGUGUUUGGACUCUUUCAAGAUGUCCUGUUAAUCAGCCUAGUAAAAAUCAAGAACCAAGGUACAACUUCCCAAUGUCCCUAAGCUUCUUUGGUUUCUGGCAGAAGUCAGGAUAUGCUGCACCUUUCAGAGGACAAUUCAUCUGGCUAAAGUUGUAACAUGAGAAUGACAUCAUGCCAAGAAUCCUCUCCAGAAUCAACAGAUGUCUGGACAGAGGGGACCCCAGGAUGUUCACACGUGUCUGCUGUCUGCUCGGCAAGCUCUUGCAAUGGGACAGCCACAUUCCAGGGUCCUCCGGAAUGCACUGGGGUGAAAGAAAAACUCCUAAACUAUGUAUGAUGAUCAAAUGAAAGCAGAACAUUGGCCAUUGUUUCAUUACAUGUUCCCAACUGGUCUUUUUUCCCUAGUUAAAAAAAAGGUAACUUGGGACAGGUAAUCUUCAGCAGAAAAACCUGUCAAUACAAUACUUCUUUCUGCAACUGACAGUCUGUAGUUGCCAUUUAUAGAACUAAUAAAGAAAAACAGUGACCAGCUACGAA